Non-coding RNA from Triticum aestivum (bread wheat), 196 nucleotides. The record is from Rfam. Lineage: Eukaryota; Viridiplantae; Streptophyta; Magnoliopsida; Poales; Poaceae.
AUACCUUUCUCGGCCUUUUGGCUAAGAUCAAGUGUAGUAUCUGUUCUUAUCAGUUUAAUAUCUGAUAUGUGGGGUACACCCCACAAUGAUAUUAAAUUAAUUUUUUAUGGGAGAGGGCCCACUACAGUGGCUUGCUACUGGGGUCCCUCAGGUGUCGCCCGUGUCUUGCACUACCGCAUGGGCUGGCGCACCCCAA